Molecule: ribosomal RNA, 495 nt
Filed under: uncultured bacterium
Lineage: Bacteria
Description: partial 16S ribosomal RNA
Rfam family: Bacterial small subunit ribosomal RNA
Source: RNAcentral
GAUGAACGCUAGCGGGAGGCCUAACACAUGCAAGCCGAGCGGUAGAGUUUCUUCGGAAACUUGAGAGCGGCGCACGGGUGCGGAACACGUGUGCAACCUGCCUUUAUCUGGGGGAUAGCCUUUCGAAAGGAGGAUUAAUACCCCAUAAUAUACUGAAUGGCAUCAUUCGGUAUUGAAAACUCCGGUGGAUAGAGAUGGGCACGCGCAAGAUUAGAUAGUUGGUGAGGUAACGGCUCACCAAGUCUGCGAUCUUUAGGGGGCCUGAGAGGGUGAUCCCCCACACUGAUACUGAGACACGGACCAGACUCCUACGGGAGGCAGCAGUGAGGAAUAUUGGACAAUGGGUGAGAGCCUGAUCCAGCCAUCCCGCGUGAAGGACGACGGCCCUAUGGGUUGUAAACUUCUUUUGUAUAGGGAUAAACCUACUCUCGUGAGAGUAGCUGAAGGUACUAUACGAAUAAGCACCGGCUAACUCCGUGCCAGCAGCCGCCGUAA